Molecule: small nucleolar RNA, 117 nt
Organism: Protopterus annectens (West African lungfish)
Lineage: Eukaryota; Metazoa; Chordata; Ceratodontiformes; Protopteridae
Product: small nucleolar RNA SNORA17
Exons: 1
Source: RefSeq, a predicted model, not a curated record
CGUGUCACAGGAAAGGCUGUCCAGCCUUUCCUGUGACACGGGUGUCACAGGAAAGGCUGGACUCAGCCUUUCCUGUGACACGGUGCACAGAGGCUGAAUCCAGCCUUUCCUGUGACA